UAAUACAUCUAAGGCUCUGGUCUGAGCCAUUCAUUUUUUUUCUUUCUAAGAAUUUCAAAUGCUUUCUUAGUAUGCUUACCUUGACAUACUCACUGCCGAUCUUUACUAAGUGACUGGAAUUUGGCAGAAUCUCCCACAGUAGAAGCAGUGUAGUGGUAUAUGGAUUAAAGGGUCCAAGAUCCAGAUACCCAAGAGCCUGGAAAGCAAUAAGGAGAUUGGGACAUUUUGAAGUCCCUCAAGCUUGUUGAGUGUAUAUGUGCUUUGGUUUGAUCAGCAGCUCUGAUUGAUAACUUGAGAUAUGCCAGAGCUUGCUGAGGUUGAUGCGGCUGGUCUUCAUUUCUACAACAACUGCUAUCAGGUUAAG
Long non-coding RNA from Rosa chinensis, 364 nucleotides. RefSeq lists it as uncharacterized. The record is from RefSeq and is a predicted model, not a curated record. Lineage: Eukaryota; Viridiplantae; Streptophyta; Magnoliopsida; Rosales; Rosaceae. The transcript has 3 exons.